UACGAAGGGGGCUAGCGUUGUUCGGAAUUACUGGGCGUAAAGCGCACGUAGGCGGCCUGUUAAGUCAGGGGUGAAAUCCUGGAGCUCAACUCCAGAACUGCCUUUGAUACUGAUGGUCUCGAGUCCGGAAGAGGUGAGUGGAAUUCCGAGUGUAGAGGUGAAAUUCGUAGAUAUUCGGAGGAACACCAGUGGCGAAGGCGGCUCACUGGUCCGGUACUGACGCUGAGGUGCGAAAGCGUGGGGAGCAAACAGG
Molecule: ribosomal RNA, 253 nt
Filed under: uncultured bacterium
Lineage: Bacteria
Description: partial 16S ribosomal RNA
Rfam family: Bacterial small subunit ribosomal RNA
Source: RNAcentral